GCAACAUCGGUCCAAUCCUUAAAGUCAUCCUCAGUUCGGACUGGGGUCUGCAACCCGACCCCACGAAGCUGGAUUCGCUAGUAAUCGCGCAUCAGCCAUGGCGCGGUGAAUACGUUCCCGGGCCUUGUACACACCGCCCGUCAAGCCAUGAAAGCCGGGGGCGCCUGAAGUCCGUGACCGCGAGGGUCGGCCUAGGGUGAAACCGGUGAUUGGGGCUAAGUCGUAACAAGGUACC
Molecule: ribosomal RNA, 235 nt
Filed under: uncultured bacterium
Lineage: Bacteria
Description: partial 16S ribosomal RNA
Rfam family: Bacterial small subunit ribosomal RNA
Source: RNAcentral